Molecule: unclassified non-coding RNA, 176 nt
Organism: Gopherus agassizii (Agassiz's desert tortoise)
Lineage: Eukaryota; Metazoa; Chordata; Testudines; Testudinidae
Source: Ensembl
UUGACAGCCCUGUAGACUGAGGUCCUCUAAGUAUUCACAGGCCAGGUUCAGAAAGACAUUUGCACUGCAAGGUUACACACAAGAUUCUGACAAUAUGCUUCCCCUUGGAACUGGAGGGAACACUUCCAAGGAUGAGAGGGUACUUCAGUGCCAGAGCUAGCCCAUUGUGGACCCUU